RNAcentral lists this ribosomal RNA (421 nucleotides) under uncultured archaeon. Its description in RNAcentral is "partial 16S ribosomal RNA". It matches the Rfam family "Archaeal small subunit ribosomal RNA", at positions 323 to 746 of the family's 1478-position model. The record is from RNAcentral.
CUACGGGGGGCACCAGGCGCGUAACCUCUACAAUGCACGCAAGUGUGAUAGGGGGAUUCUGAGUGCUCAUGCUUAGCAUGGGCUUUUGCCAAGACUAGAUCUCUUGGCGAAUAAGGGAUGGGUAAGACUGGUGCCAGCCGCCGCGGUAACACCAGCGUCCCAAGUGCAAUCGCGAUUAUUGGGCCUAAAGCGUCCGUAGCAGGUUUGAUAAAUCUUUUGUGAAAUCGUCAAGCUUAACUUGACGAAUGGCAGAAGACACUGUUAAACUAGGGACCGGGAGGGGUCAGAAGUAUUCUGGGGGGAUCGGUAAAAUGAUAUAAUCCCCAGAGGACUACCGAUGGCGAAGGCAUCUGACCAGAACGGAUCCGACUGUGAGGGACGAAGGCUAGGGGAGCGAACCGGAUUAGAUACCCCCGUAGUC